UGCUAUCGGGGUUCGAUUAAGCCAUGCGAGUCGAGAGGGUUCGGCCCUCGGCGUACUGCUCAGUAACACGUGGAUAACCUGCCCUAGGGAAGGGGAUAACCCCGGGAAACUGGGGAUAAUACCCUAUAGAUUACAGAUGCUGGAAUGCCCUGUAAUCCAAAGUUCCGACGCCCUAGGAUGGAUCUGCGGCCGAUUAGGUUGUUGUUGGGGUAAUGGCCCAACAAGCCCGUAAUCGGUACGGGUUGUGGGAGCAAGAGCCCGGAGUUGGAUUCUGAGACACGAAUCCAGGCCCUACGGGGCGCAGCAGGCGCGAAAACUUUACAAUGCGGGCAACCGUGAUAAGGGAACCUCGAGUGCCUGUAAAUGCAGGCUGUUCAGGUGCCUAAAACACACCUGAAGAAAGGGCCGGGCAAGACCGGUGCCAGCCGCCGCGGUAAUACCGGCGGCUCGAGUGGUGGCCGCUUUUAUUGGGCUUAAAGCGUUCGUAGCUGGGUUGUUAAGUCUCUUGGGAAAUCUGGCGGCUUAACCGUCAGGCGUCUAAGGGAUACUGGCAAUCUUGGAACCGGGAGAGGUGAGGGGUACUUCGGGGGUAGGAGU
RNAcentral lists this ribosomal RNA (597 nucleotides) under uncultured methanogenic archaeon. RNAcentral's name for it is "bacterial SSU rRNA". It matches the Rfam family "Archaeal small subunit ribosomal RNA", at positions 28 to 633 of the family's 1478-position model. The record is from RNAcentral. Lineage: Archaea; Methanobacteriati; Methanobacteriota.